GAUGAACGCUGGCGGCGUGCCUAAUACAUGCAAGUCGAGCGAACGGACGAGAAGCUUGUUUCUCAGAUGUUAGCGGCGGACGGGUGAGUAACACGUGGAUAACCUACCUAUAAGACUGGGAUAACUUCGGGAAACCGGAGCUAAUACCGGAUAAUAUUUUGAACCGCAUGGUUCAAAAGUGAAAGACGGUCUUGCUGUCACUUAUAGAUGGAUCCGCGCUGCAUUAGCUAGUUGGUAAGGUAACGGCUUACCAAGGCAACGAUGCAUAGCCGACCUGAGAGGGUGAUCGGCCACACUGGAACUGAGACACGGUCCAGACUCCUACGGGAGGCAGCAGUAGGGAAUCUUCCGCAAUGGGCGAAAGCCUGACGGAGCAACGCCGCGUGAGUGAUGAAGGUCUUCGGAUCGUAAAACUCUGUUAUUAGGGAAGAACAUAUGUGUAAGUAACUGUGCACAUCUUGACGGUACCUAAUCAGAAAGCCACGGCUAACUACGUG
Molecule: ribosomal RNA, 497 nt
Filed under: uncultured bacterium
Lineage: Bacteria
Description: partial 16S ribosomal RNA
Rfam family: Bacterial small subunit ribosomal RNA
Source: RNAcentral